GAUUAGAAGAUGAUGAUUCAGUUGAUAAUAUAUUAAAAAUCUCUUUCUAAUUAUCAUCCUACUUUGGCCAAAGACUUUCAGAAUCAUCGACUUAUGAGAUCAUAUAGGAUGUUCGCUCCUCUUAUUAGGAGUGACUGAUCCCUUAUUGAUUACUCAUAAUCUUUAUGCAUACUUCACCACAUCUAGAACAUCCCAUGCAA
This 200-nucleotide long non-coding RNA is filed under the name Elaeis guineensis (African oil palm). RNAcentral describes it as "long non-coding RNA (EGUI_LNC046840)". The record is from RNAcentral. Lineage: Eukaryota; Viridiplantae; Streptophyta; Magnoliopsida; Arecales; Arecaceae.